This 403-nucleotide ribosomal RNA is filed under the name uncultured bacterium. RNAcentral's name for it is "partial 16S ribosomal RNA". It matches the Rfam family "Bacterial small subunit ribosomal RNA", at positions 30 to 526 of the family's 1533-position model. The record is from RNAcentral.
AUUGAACGCUGGCGGCAGGCCUAACACAUGCAAGUCGAGCGAUCGGCGGACGGGUGAGUAAUGUAUGGGGACUGCCCGAUAGCGGGGGAUAACUACUGGAAACGGUGGCUAAUACCGCUUAUUGUCGCAUAACCCAUAUGGGUUUAGCUAGUAGGUAAGGUAAUGGCUUACUGAGCCGACGAUCCUUCCCUAGUCUGAGAGGAUGAUCAGCCACACUGGGACUGAGACACGGCCCAGACUCCAACGGAGGCAGCAGUGGGGAAUAUUGCACAAGGGGCGCAAGCCUGAUGCAGCCAUGCCGCGUGUAGGAAGAAGGCCCUAGGGUUGUAAAGUACUUUCAGUCGGGAGGCGUUACCGACAGAAGAAGCACCGGCUAACUCCGUGCCAGCAGCCGCGGUAAUAC